RNAcentral lists this ribosomal RNA (253 nucleotides) under uncultured microorganism. RNAcentral's name for it is "partial 16S ribosomal RNA". It matches the Rfam family "Bacterial small subunit ribosomal RNA", at positions 524 to 776 of the family's 1533-position model. The record is from RNAcentral.
UACGUAGGGUGCGAGCGUUAAUCGGAUUUAUUGGGCGUAAAGCGUGCGCAGGCGGCCCGUUAAGACAGGUGUGAAAUCCCUGGGCUCAACCUAGGAAUUGCGCUUGUGACUGGCGGGCUUGAGUUCGGUAGAGGGGGGUGGAAUUCCUGGUGUAGCAGUGAAAUGCGUAGAGAUCAGGAGGAACACCGAUGGCGAAGGCAGCCCCCUGGGCCUGUACUGACGCUCAUGCACGAAAGCGUGGGGAGCAAACAGG